This 495-nucleotide ribosomal RNA is filed under the name uncultured bacterium. RNAcentral describes it as "partial 16S ribosomal RNA". It matches the Rfam family "Bacterial small subunit ribosomal RNA", at positions 28 to 507 of the family's 1533-position model. The record is from RNAcentral.
GAUGAACGCUGGCGGCGUGCCUAAUACAUGCCAGUAGAACGCUGAAGGAGGAGCUUGCUCUUCUGGAUGAGUUGCGAGCGGGUGAGUAACGCGUAGGUAACCUGCCUGGUAGCGGGGGAUAACUAUUGGAAACGAUAGCUAAUACCGCAUGACAACAGUUAUUGCAUGAUAACUGUUUAAAAGGGGCAACUGCUCCACUACCAGAUGGACCUGCGUUGUAUUAGCUAGUUGGUGAGGUAACGGCUCACCAAGGCGACGAUACAUAGCCGACCUGAGAGGGGGAGCGGCCAAACUGGGACGGAGACACGGCCCAGACUCCCACGGGAGGCAGCAGGAGGGAAACGUCGGCAAGGGACGGAAGUCUGACCGAGAAACGCCGCGGGAGGGAAGAAGGAUGUCGGAUCGUAAAGCUCUGUUGUAAGAGAAGAACGAGUGUGAGAGUGGAAAGUUCACACUGUGACGGUAUCUGAUCAGAAAGGGACGGCUAACUACGUG